GUGCCUGUUUUGGCAGCACAUAUACUAAAUUGGAACAGUAGAUUAUCAUGGCCCGUCUGCACAAGGAUGACAUACAAAUUUGUGAAGUGUUCCGGACUUAA
This is a small nuclear RNA of Callithrix jacchus (white-tufted-ear marmoset), 101 nucleotides long. The record is from Ensembl. NCBI's taxonomy places the organism in Eukaryota, Metazoa, Chordata, Mammalia, Primates, Cebidae.